CCGUUUUGCCUUUUAUGGGAGAGAGCGGGCAGCAGCGGGAGUGGGUUCAGUUUGAAUGGCUUAGGACUUAGGGAAAUAUCUGACUUUCUAAUUUUCUUUUUCUUUUUCAUGGUGAAGUGACAGGCGGGGAUUCAACGGGUAUAGCUGUAGUCAGCUAGUAGAGAGGGAAAUCUGGAAAAGCCUUCCCCUAUUGCUGCCAGUCUGCUAUGGAACUGUUAAAAAACACACGACCUGCUGCCCAUAAUGUAAACAGCUGGUGGCUGUUAAUGUAUCAUUUUCGUUAUGUACCCAUUUUAUGCUGUUGACAUGAAGUUGCAAGCCACCUGGAAGUGUAUGUGUCUUUCCAUAAGGGUUUUGUUUUUCAACUUUUUAAAGAGUUGCACAGACUGUUUGUUUGGCUUGAAUUUGGGGCUCAUGGUUAAGAUAGCAAAAAUAAAGGGAUUUAUUUCAUUACAUUGUAAGCACUGAAUUCCCGAGAGUAACCUUUGACAUGUUGCUUUCUCAAUGUAAAUAUUAAGAAAGUAAGCAUCGUUGUUGGAGAUAAGCAGGUGCACUAAUUUGAUUUGUAGCCGUUCUGUUCUGCCUGUGAGCUUCCUUUUUGCAACCAGCUGACUGCUGGCCGAUGUCAAAAGGAAAUGGAUAUUGGUCUGAAGAAGCAUAACAGUUCUGAGUGGUUUAGAAGCUGGCAUUUAAAAACAGUAACAUUGGCAUUGACUCAGUAAACCAUUUGUAACCCAUUUUGUUCAUCAUUGAAAAAUGGGGGUGUUACUUUUUAAAAAACUUUUUAACAUCACCACAAAGUGGCUGACUGUCAACUUCAAAUGGGGCACAGGUCCUUUUAACAGCGCCUCGCCUGUUAAACAAGCAUUAAAACCAGCAGUUCACAUUGGCAAAAAAUGCAAUGUGUGAAAUGGCUAAGGCAGCAUUACAAUUAUGUCUGUCUUCACCUUAAGCAUAUCUGUGAGCCAUUCACCUCCUGCCAUGCAGUACAGUGGUACCUUGGUUCUCAAACGCCUUGGCUCGCAAACACCAAAAACCAGGAAGUAAGUGUUCCAGUUUCCAAAAGUUUUUUGGAAGCUGAACAUCUGAUGCGCUUGUCGGCUGUUGUUUCUGGGGUGCCUGCACCAAUCAGCUGUGCCUUGGUUUUGGAACAUUUUGGAAGUCGAAUGGACUUCCAGAACAGAUUAAGUUUGGCGCUUUUGUUUUUGCUAUUUAUUUUGUGUUUUUGUUUUCGAGGCUUUUUCGGUUAAUUUGUUUUUGUGACUGUAUGGAACUCAGUUCAGCUACUGAUUGAUUGUGCGACUGCAGAAAUGGAUAAAAGCCCCCCAUCCAAACAAUGACUAUCAUCAGUGCAGGUAAGAAAAAAAUGUAAUUUUAAUUUUUAUCAUCUACAAUACUCUCUAUUUUAUACUACAAUACAUUGAUUAUUGCUUUCAUUUUAUGGAUCAAUGGUCUCAUUAGAUAGUAAAAUUCAUGUUAAAUUGCUGUUUUAGGGGUUGUUUUUAAAAGUCUGGAACGGAUUAAUCCGUUUUGCAUUACUUUCUAUGGGAAAGCACGCCUUGGUAUUAGAACGCUUUGGUUUUGGAACAGACUUCUGCAGAACCAAGGUACCACUGUAUUUAAGAACAUGAUUAACCCAGUGGGGGGGGGGAAUCCCCUGUGGAACAGGAGUGUUGUCCCACACUGACCCUGAGAGUUGGUUCUUCAUCUUUUCAGUUUUUUGUCCUGUAAAAGUGCCUUCCCCAUGUUCUCUGCUGGAGGUGGGGAACCAGUGGCUCUCCCAAGAUGGUCAGUUCUCAAGUACUAAAAUGCAAUGCAUCAUAUAAUUUAUAGAGUAAGAUACUGAGAGGGAAGAUUGCUAACAAACCAUAAAUAGAAAGAGCAUGGCCAGGUUUCACUUGUUUAGCUUUUGUGGACAGCUUUUUCUGUACAGUGUUACCUCGGGUUAAGAACUUAAUUUAUUCUGGAGGUCUGUUCUUAACCUGAGGUACCACUUUAGCUAAUGGGGCCUCCUCCUGCUGCUGCUGCUGCGCCGCCUCGCAAUUUCUGUUCUCAUCCUGAAGCAAAGUUCUUAACCUGAGGUACUAUUUCUGGGUUAGUCUGUAACCUGAAGCAUCUGUAACCUGAGGUACCAUUGUACAGGUUAUUCAAGUGUAGAAGUAGAAGAAGAAGAAGAAGAAGAAGAAGAGGAAGAAGAAGAGGAGUUUGGAUUUGAUAUCCCGCCUUUCACUCCCCUUCAGGAGUCUCAAAGUGGCUAACA
This 2260-nucleotide long non-coding RNA is filed under the name Podarcis lilfordi (Lilford's wall lizard). Lineage: Eukaryota; Metazoa; Chordata; Lepidosauria; Squamata; Lacertidae. The record is from RNAcentral.